UCCCCUGUGGCUCAAUUGGUAAAGAAUCUGCCUGCAAUGCAGGAGACCUGGGUUUGAUCCCUGGGUGGGGAA
RNAcentral lists this transfer RNA (72 nucleotides) under Bos taurus (domestic cattle). It matches the Rfam family "tRNA". From Rfam's summary of the family: Transfer RNA (tRNA) molecules are approximately 80 nucleotides in length. Their secondary structure includes four short double-helical elements and three loops (D, anti-codon, and T loops). The record is from Rfam by way of RNAcentral. Lineage: Eukaryota; Metazoa; Chordata; Mammalia; Artiodactyla; Bovidae. RNAcentral also lists the same sequence under 5 other names.